This 72-nucleotide transfer RNA is filed under the name Capra hircus (goat). It matches the Rfam family "tRNA". Rfam says of the family: Transfer RNA (tRNA) molecules are approximately 80 nucleotides in length. Lineage: Eukaryota; Metazoa; Chordata; Mammalia; Artiodactyla; Bovidae. RNAcentral also lists the same sequence under 2 other names. The record is from Rfam by way of RNAcentral.
UCCCUGGUGGCUCAGAUGGUAAAGCAUCUGCCUACAAUGCGGGAGACCCAGGUUCGAUCCCUGGGUUGAGAA